AUUGAACGCUGGCGGCAGGCCUAACACAUGCAAGUCGAGCGGAUGAAGGGAGCUUGCUCCUGGAUUCAGCGGCGGACGGGUGAGUAAUGCCUAGGAAUCUGCCUGGUAGUGGGGGAUAACGUCCGGAAACGGGCGCUAAUACCGCAUACGUCCUGAGGGAGAAAGUGGGGGAUCUUCGGACCUCACGCUAUCAGAUGAGCCUAGGUCGGAUUAGCUAGUUGGUGGGGUAAAGGCCUACCAAGGCGACGAUCCGUAACUGGUCUGAGAGGAUGAUCAGUCACACUGGAACUGAGACACGGUCCAGACUCCUACGGGAGGCAGCAGUGGGGAAUAUUGGACAAUGGGCGAAAGCCUGAUCCAGCCAUGCCGCGUGUGUGAAGAAGGUCUUCGGAUUGUAAAGCACUUUAAGUUGGGAGGAAGGGCAGUAAGUUAAGACCUUGCUGUUUGGACGUGACCAACAGAAUAAGCACCGACUAACUUCGU
RNAcentral lists this ribosomal RNA (483 nucleotides) under uncultured bacterium. RNAcentral describes it as "partial 16S ribosomal RNA". It matches the Rfam family "Bacterial small subunit ribosomal RNA", at positions 30 to 506 of the family's 1533-position model. The record is from RNAcentral.